Molecule: unclassified non-coding RNA, 316 nt
Filed under: uncultured fungus
Lineage: Eukaryota; Fungi
Description: partial contains small subunit ribosomal RNA, internal transcribed spacer 1, and 5.8S ribosomal RNA
Rfam family: Eukaryotic small subunit ribosomal RNA (bases 1-73)
Source: RNAcentral
ACAAACUUGGUCAUUUAGAGGAAGUAAAAGUCGUAACAAGGUCUCCGUUGGUGAACCAGCGGAGGGAUCAUUACCGAGUUUUCAACUCCCCAAACCCCCUGUGAACUUAUACCUGUAACCGUUGCCUCGGCGGGUUCGACGCCCCGGAAGGCUUUCCUCCCUUUAGGGGGGGGGGGCCGCCGGAACCAGGCGCCCGCCGGGGGACCCUAACCCCUGUAUCUCUUCCUUUUUGGCAUGUCUGAGUGGAAUCACAAACAAACGAAUCAAAACUUUCAACAACGGAUCUCUUGGUUCUGGCAUCGAUGAAGAACGCAGC